CUGUUGUAAGGGAAGAAGAGAUCAUAGAGGGAAUGCUAUGAUUGUGACGGUACCUUACCAGAAAGCCACGGCUAACUACGUGCCAGCAGCCGCGGUAAUACGUAGGUGGCGAGCGUUAUCCGGAAUUAUUGGGCGUAAAGGGUGCGUAGGCGGCACACUAAGUCUAAGGUUAAAGUUCGAGGCUCAACUUCGGAUUGCCUUAGAAACUGGUGAGCUAGAGUGCAGGAGAGGGCAAUGGAAUUCCAUGUGUAGCGGUAAAAUGCGUAGAUAUAUGGAGGAACACCAGUGGCGAAGGCGGUUGCCUGGCCUGUAACUGACGCUGAGGCACGAAAGCGUGGGGAGCAAAUAGGAUUAGAUACCCUAGUAGUCCACGCUGUAAACGAUGAUUACUAAGUGUUGGAGAAAUUCAGUGCUGCAGUUAACGCAAUAAGUAAUCCGCCUGGGG
This 445-nucleotide ribosomal RNA is filed under the name uncultured Bacillota bacterium. Its description in RNAcentral is "bacterial SSU rRNA". It matches the Rfam family "Bacterial small subunit ribosomal RNA", at positions 433 to 878 of the family's 1533-position model. Lineage: Bacteria; Bacillati; Bacillota. The record is from RNAcentral.